This 497-nucleotide ribosomal RNA is filed under the name uncultured bacterium. RNAcentral describes it as "partial 16S ribosomal RNA". It matches the Rfam family "Bacterial small subunit ribosomal RNA", at positions 28 to 507 of the family's 1533-position model. The record is from RNAcentral.
GAUGAACGCUGGCGGCGUGCCUAAUACAUGCAAGUCGAGCGAACGGACGAGAAGCUUGCUUCUCUGAUGUUAGCGGCGGACGGGUGAGUCACACGUGGAUAACCUACCUAUAAGACUGGGAUAACUUCGGGAAACCGGAGCUAAUACCGGAUGAUAUUUUGAACCGCAUGGUUCAAAAGUGAAAGACGGUCUUGCUGUCACUUAUAGAUGGAUCCGCGCUGCAUUAGCUAGUUGGUAAGGUAACGGCUUACCAAGGCAACGAUGCAUAGCCGACCUGAGAGCGUGGUCGGCCACCCGGGAAGUGAGACACGGUCCCGACUCCUGCGGGAGGCAGCAGUAGGGAAUCUUCCGCAAUGGGCGAGAGCCUGACGGAGCAACGCCGCGUGAGUGAUGAAGGUGUUCGGAUCGUAAAGCUCUGUUAUUAGGGAAGAACAUAUGUGUAAGUAACUGUGCACAUCUUGACGGUACCUAGUCAGAAAGCCACGGCUAACUACGUG